AAGUCGUAACAAGGUUUCCGUAGGUGAACCUGCGGAAGGAUCAUUAUCAAAACAGCGGACUUCGGUCCUUGCUGCACCCUUGUCUUUUGCGUACCGUAUGUUUCCUCGGCGGGCUUGCCUGCCGGUUGGACAAUAUCAAACCUUUUUGUAGUUGCAAUCAGCGUCAGAAAACAAAUAAUAAUUACAACUUUCAACAACGGAUCUCUUGGUUCUG
Molecule: unclassified non-coding RNA, 214 nt
Filed under: Pyrenochaetopsis leptospora
Lineage: Eukaryota; Fungi; Ascomycota; Dothideomycetes; Pleosporales; Pyrenochaetopsidaceae
Also listed under: 3 other names
Description: partial internal transcribed spacer region
Rfam family: Eukaryotic small subunit ribosomal RNA (bases 1-46)
Source: RNAcentral